RNAcentral lists this ribosomal RNA (1013 nucleotides) under Pediococcus pentosaceus. RNAcentral's name for it is "bacterial SSU rRNA". It matches the Rfam family "Bacterial small subunit ribosomal RNA", at positions 34 to 1003 of the family's 1533-position model. The record is from RNAcentral. Lineage: Bacteria; Bacillati; Bacillota; Bacilli; Lactobacillales; Lactobacillaceae.
GGCAGGGGGCGGCUGCUAUACAUGCAGUCGACGAACUUCCGUUAAUUGAUUAUGACGUACUUGUACUGAUUGAGAUUUUAACACGAAGUGAGUGGCGAACGGGUGAGUAACACGUGGGUAACCUGCCCAGAAGUAGGGGAUAACACCUGGAAACAGAUGCUAAUACCGUAUAACAGAGAAAACCGCAUGGUUUUCUUUUAAAAGAUGGCUCUGCUAUCACUUCUGGAUGGACCCGCGGCGUAUUAGCUAGUUGGUGAGGUAAAGGCUCACCAAGGCAGUGAUACGUAGCCGACCUGAGAGGGUAAUCGGCCACAUUGGGACUGAGACACGGCCCAGACUCCUACGGGAGGCAGCAGUAGGGAAUCUUCCACAAUGGACGCAAGUCUGAUGGAGCAACGCCGCGUGAGUGAAGAAGGGUUUCGGCUCGUAAAGCUCUGUUGUUAAAGAAGAACGUGGGUAAGAGUAACUGUUUACCCAGUGACGGUAUUUAACCAGAAAGCCACGGCUAACUACGUGCCAGCAGCCGCGGUAAUACGUAGGUGGCAAGCGUUAUCCGGAUUUAUUGGGCGUAAAGCGAGCGCAGGCGGUCUUUUAAGUCUAAUGUGAAAGCCUUCGGCUCAACCGAAGAAGUGCAUUGGAAACUGGGAGACUUGAGUGCAGAAGAGGACAGUGGAACUCCAUGUGUAGCGGUGAAAUGCGUAGAUAUAUGGAAGAACACCAGUGGCGAAGGCGGCUGUCUGGUCUGCAACUGACGCUGAGGCUCGAAAGCAUGGGUAGCGAACAGGAUUAGAUACCCUGGUAGUCCAUGCCGUAAACGAUGAUUACUAAGUGUUGGAGGGUUUCCGCCCUUCAGUGCUGCAGCUAACGCAUUAAGUAAUCCGCCUGGGGAGUACGACCGCAAGGUUGAAACUCAAAAGAAUUGACGGGGGCCCGCACAAGCGGUGGAGCAUGUGGUUUAAUUCGAAGCUACGCGAAGAACCUUACCAGGUCUUGACAUCUUCUGACAGUCUAAG